This 404-nucleotide ribosomal RNA is filed under the name Staphylococcus aureus. RNAcentral's name for it is "bacterial SSU rRNA". It matches the Rfam family "Bacterial small subunit ribosomal RNA", at positions 112 to 503 of the family's 1533-position model. The record is from RNAcentral. Lineage: Bacteria; Bacillati; Bacillota; Bacilli; Caryophanales; Staphylococcaceae.
AACACGUGGAUAACCUACCUAUAUGACUGGGAAAACUUCGGGAAACCGGAGUUAAUACCGGACGAUAUUUUGAAUCACAUGGUUCAAAAUGGAAAGACGGUCUUGCUGCACCUUAUAGAUGGAUACGGGCUGCAUUAGCAAGUUGGUAAGGUAACGGCUUACCAAGGCAACGAAGCAUAGCCGACCUGAGAGGGUGAUCGGCCACACUGGAACUGAGACACGGUCCAGACUCCUACGGGAGGCAGCAGUAGGGAAUCUGCCGCAAUGGGCGAAAGCCUGGCGGAGCAACGCCGCGUGAGUGAUGAAGGUCUUCGGAUCGUAAAACUCUGUUAUUAGGGAAGAACAUAUGUGUAAGUAACUGUGCACAUCUUGACGGUACCUAAUCAGAAAGCCACGGCUAACUA